Molecule: long non-coding RNA, 1111 nt
Organism: Chinchilla lanigera (long-tailed chinchilla)
Lineage: Eukaryota; Metazoa; Chordata; Mammalia; Rodentia; Chinchillidae
Exons: 4
Source: RefSeq, a predicted model, not a curated record
UUGGGGCCGACUAAUCUGAAACCACUUAUUUUAUAUGUGUGUGAUUUGCCAUGCUGAGUAGAGGAAGCAGGCAAGAUUCACCAUCAUGCACUGACCCUCGCUCAAGAGAUUAAUAUUUUUCAUUUGAAUCCAUUUUUUAGCCUCAAGAUUUAGAUGAAAUCCCAGGCAAGAAAUACCUUGGAUUGCCUAACACCGUGCUCUGAGGCUACACAGGUGUCAGCAGUAAACUCUAUGGCUGUUAUGUCCUGGGAAAGACUGAGAACAGACUGUGAUAUCUUACACCUGUCCCAGAUGGUCCAACGUCCUACUGCAAGAACAUCCAAGUAGCCAGAAGGAAAUAAGAAGAGUUCUUUCAUAUGGAAGGAGCCAGCACAAUCGCAUGAAAGGAGAAAGGACAGGCAACCCCAUUGCCCAGCAGAGAAGAAUCCGCUGAGAGCUGGAAGUGCUUCAGCUGCAUCACGGGGCAUGUCUCUCUCCAGAUUUGGACAAUAAUGAGCCUGGCACUGUGCCGUGGGGUGGGUGCGGGGCUGAGCUUUCCCAGUGUGCUCACCCCACUCACCUCGAGGGCACCAUGUCUCCCUGCGGCUGCCUGUGGCUCAUAUAUUCCUCUACUCUCCUGCUGUAGGCCACACUGCUGGGCAGAGGUUGGCUGAUGGUAUUUUCCUUUGCUUGACUCUGACAUUACAGAUAGCAGAGAUAGUCUUCUUUUAUGUCUUCAUCUUCAGCUAGAGAGGCAAACACAGAGGGUGUUAUUUCAUUCACAAUAUUGGAACUGAGUAAACUAAAGGUGUGACAUGGAGCAAGAGAACUCAGAACAGGGCAGCUCAUAGCACAUGCUCACUAAAUAUUUGUUUAAUGGGGGUGGGGAAUAAGGCUCAGAGACACCCAAUAAUUGGGUAAGGGAAAGGGAGAAGCGAUAGACAAGACGCAUGAGUGACAGUGUCCCUGUGUGAGAAGCUCAUGUUUUAAUAGAGCCUUUGAAUGUGUGUGUUUGGUUUGGUCUGAUAAACAUUCUUGAGUAUUAAAUGCUAAACAAGUGGCUGACAUUUGAGCAGUAAGGCCUGUGUGUUGCUUACUUGUGAAGCCCUACUCUAUUAAAGGUAAUGACGAA